AUCUUUUUUUUGGUUCAUAAGCGUGAUGAUUGGGAAUUCACUCCACUGCAUGAUGUGUGCUGCCCAUUAAACCUUGUUACAAGGUGGGCACAUUAUCCAUUAAAAA
This 106-nucleotide small nucleolar RNA is filed under the name Mesocricetus auratus (golden hamster). RNAcentral's name for it is "Small nucleolar RNA U13". It matches the Rfam family "Small nucleolar RNA U13". Lineage: Eukaryota; Metazoa; Chordata; Mammalia; Rodentia; Cricetidae. The record is from Rfam by way of RNAcentral.